AAAACCGGAGGAAGGUGGGGAUGAAGUCAAUUCACCAUGGCCCUUUAGUCCUGGGCUACCCCCCUGCUACAAUGGCCGGUACAAAGGGGCGCAAACUCCGGAGGGGGAGCCAAUCCCCAAAACCCGGUCUCAGUUCGGAUUGCAGUCUGCAACUCGCCUGCAUGAAGUCGGAAUCGCUA
This 179-nucleotide ribosomal RNA is filed under the name uncultured bacterium. RNAcentral describes it as "partial 16S ribosomal RNA". It matches the Rfam family "Bacterial small subunit ribosomal RNA", at positions 1159 to 1337 of the family's 1533-position model. The record is from RNAcentral.